This 412-nucleotide long non-coding RNA is filed under the name Paramuricea clavata. The record is from RNAcentral. Lineage: Eukaryota; Metazoa; Cnidaria; Anthozoa; Malacalcyonacea; Plexauridae.
GCUAUAUUUUCCGCCUUAAAAGAGCAAUAAUGAAGCACAAACCGGUCUAAUUGUUUUAAAAACAUGCCUAAGCCACGACAAAGUAUUCAAGGUAAAUGUUUUUCGUCUUUGUUUUGUAUUUUUUUACAUUUGUAGCUACGAAAUUGGCGUCCCCAAUUUUAACGAAAUUUGGGAUGCCUUUUUCACUGUUUAGUGCUUGAAAUAUUUGCUAAAAUUGACUGGGAAUACUUAGAGAUUUCAUCGUAGAAUGGCGUAGUUAUAUUCAUUUGCUCUUUGACUAAAAUGUUUAACUGUAUUAUUGCUAAACAUGCCGUUUUUGAGAAUUUGGUUUGCAACUAGGUUUCAACAUCCAAUCACGCCAUCAGCCCAUUGAAAACAUUAGGUCACGUCAGCUAGUUUCCUAUCGAUUUAU